UACGAAGGGGGCAAGCGUUGCUCGGAAUUACUGGGCGUAAAGCGCACGUAGUCGGGGCGGUAAGUCGGGGGUGAAAUCCUGGAGCUCAACUCCAGAACUGCCUUCGAAACUGUCGAUCUUGAGUUCGGGAGAGGUGAGUGGAACUGCGAGUGUAGAGGUGAAAUUCGUAGAUAUUCGCAAGAACACCAGUGGCGAAGGCGGCUCGCUGGCCCGAUACUGACGCUGAGGUGCGAAAGCGUGGGGAGCAAACAGG
This 253-nucleotide ribosomal RNA is filed under the name uncultured bacterium. RNAcentral's name for it is "partial 16S ribosomal RNA". It matches the Rfam family "Bacterial small subunit ribosomal RNA", at positions 524 to 776 of the family's 1533-position model. The record is from RNAcentral.